AACUCGAGUGCAUUGUAAAAUUCUACCAAUUUAUAAUGAUUGAAUUUUGAAAGUUUCCUUUUCUUAGUCCAUAAUUUUUCUUCUAAAUUUUGCAUUGAAUACUUAGUUUAUUAUUAUUAUUAUUAUCAUUUUAAAGAGAGAGUAGCAUUUAGGGGUAUGAUUUUUUUUCUUUGACAAUAGAUUUGAGUUUAUGCCAUACAUUUUGAAAGUGAUUAUUCUUUAUUUUUGAUUGCAGCUUAUUGAAAAAUUAAACAUUUCUAGGUGAUUAGUUUAAAUUUUUAAAAUUGCUUUUAAAUUUCAUUGAAUUAUGAAUAUUUGGACCCCUUUGAAGCUGCUGCUGCCCCCAAUCUUAGGAUUUUGGCUUUGUUAUGGGGUAGACAUGGAGGUUAUUAAGAGAUACUGGGUCUGAAAAUAGCCCAAAGGCAGGGGGACCACACCUCCUGGUUUGCUUGAGGCCAGAUGCAGUUUAUGUCUGAUGUUUGAAUGUAAUUAUUACAGCACCCCUUUUCACUCUUAAAGUAUCCUGGUAAAUUGUAUGGUCACCUAUACAAAGUUAUUUAAAAGGAUGAAAGCUCUCAUAACACAUGCCCGGCAACUGCUUCAGCAAGGGGACUUGAAGACAAACCUUUGACUACUCUCAAAUAGCAUCAGGACCAUUUUCUAGGACAUGCUAGUAGAUUUCAAACAUGUUUUACACCAUCAAAUAUCACUCUUCAACAACUGUUGGAAGAAUUUUCAACAAGAAGUACAGUCACCCAUUUCUUGGCCUGAGGGCUUCUCUGUCAGCACCCCCCAAUAAUGCUUUGCUCCACCAAGGACCUCAUUGCUUAGGGAAAGUGUAGUGAAGCUAUUUGUCACUUAAGGGUUUCAAGUAAGGGACACAUACCUUGUUCAAUUCUAUUUUCUGUUUCUCAGUGAAAUUGCCAUCAUUGUGCUUGAGAUCCUUUAAAAUCACUCGCUGCAAAGAUCAAUUGAAUUAAGGAGAUAAUGUUGUAGCAUGACCACUUAAAUACAUAUUAUAAUAAUUUGUGUGUCUGUCUUCCAACUAUACUGUAAGCUCUUGAGAACAGUGACGGUAUUUUAUUGAUGUUUAUAUCCCUGGUGCCUAGUACUUGGAAUAUGGGAGGCUCAAGUUUGAAUGUUUCUUUAGGAAUUACUAAAUGAAAAGGAAGGAAGGUAGGUAGGAAGGAAGAAGGGAAGGAAGGAAGGAAGGAGAGAAAGAUGGAAGGAAGAAAGAUGCAAUCCCCUAGUAUGGGACUGUCAUUUUCCCACUGCAAUGAGCCAAAAUAUAAUACUAGGGUUGCGUGGACAGCUCUGAACCUCUUUUGUUUUUCCUUUUCCUUCCUACACUCCACCCCUCUUAAAAAUUCUAUUUGUCCUUCAAUUUCCCCAGGAUUGUGAGUUUUGGAACCGCUGAAGCAGAGCCCUGCCCAUUCCUGUGAAAGGCUCCAAGAGCAGCCCCUUGGAGCAACCUGCACACCCACCCCAACCUUUGCACUGCCAACCUUGGAAGUUGGGGCAAUGAUGAGUCAGAAAGCCCAGAACAUACCCUGAGAGUUCAGAGAAGCAGGGGAGACUAUAGUCACCUUUUUGUCGUAUUUGCACUGUUGUAGUCUCUGAAUUGUAUCUCGUCUCUUGUCAUCAUCAAUCUGGCACAAGAAAAGGCUAAUUAUUCCAGAAGCUCAUAUCUUGUCCCAUCCACUGCCAGUCCAAAGCUGAGAGGCUCUGCCAGGCGAGCUAUAUCUGCUAUUCACUCACAGGAUGCUAGGCAGGCUCCCAGAGAGACUGUUAUAACUGACUUGUGUUUCCCUCUGCCUACUGGCCUUUCCUCGCCAACAAAACUUUCUUUCCAGGUAUCAAUCACUCUCAUGCUUAACUCUGGGUUCUCCUCCCUUCCACUUACUGUGCUACUUUUCCACCUUCUUAUGGCCUACUUCAGCCAAGGAUUUUCUUUGCUUCCUUCUCCCCCUGCCCUCCUCCUAUUGGAAAUCAUUGUCUGUAGCUACAUACAGAUGGUCUUAGGGGAGCGUGUUGUGCAUUUGGGUUGCAAACUCAUGCCUAAAGGCCCAAGUAGCAAUGUGAGGGAGGACACUGGGCCAGGUGUCUAAGGGGGGCAGCCCCAUCAGCUCUAGUCCAGCCUAGAGUGGCUAGAUCAUCUGACUUGUCAAAAGUAGUUGCUAAUAUGGAUUUUUCUAAGCCAUUCUGAGAUUUUUAUAUUUGGCAAUUAAUUUUAAAAUAUAGUAAAUAUUGAACAACACACACACACACACACACACGUACACACACACCCCUGCAGGCUAGACAUGGCUCUUGGUCUGCCAGACUUUGGUCUAAAGGCAAAAAAAAGUUAAGAACUAUUGCAUCUUUCAAUUUGAUUCUCAUAAAAACCUGUGAGGUAUUAUAAUAUUUUUAAAAAUUUACCUUUACAGGCAUUUUGAAAUGCUAAUGAAAUAAACUAUAUCAAGUCCCAAAUAUGAUGUUUGGCACAGUGCAGAUUAAUAAAUGUCAGUUGUCUUCCCUUCUCCUUUUUCUCACUUUACAAAUGAUGUGCAAAAGAGUUAAAUGACACUAAAUGUCACAUAAGAAUGUAUCGGAUCUAGUUGUGGUUUUGAUUUGCAUUUCCCUAAUAAUUAGUGAUGUUGAACAUCUUUUCACAUGGCUGUUGGCCAUUUUAUAUCUUCUUUGGAAAAAUACUUGUGACAACAUGCAUGGACCUUAAGGGUAUUAUGCUAAGCAAAAUGAGUCAGAUGGAGAAAGCCAAAUAUUGUAUGAUUUCACUCAUAUGUGGAAUAUAAAAUGACAACAAAUAAACACAUAGAUACAGAGAACAGAUUGGUUACCAGAAGGGAAGGGGGAAGAAGGGAGGGUGAAAGGGGUAAAAGGGCACAUGUAUAUGGUGACGGAUGACAGCUAGACUUUUGGUGGUGAACACAAUGUAAUCUACACAGAAGUCAAAAUAUAAUGAUGUAAAACUGAAAUUUAUAUAAUGUUGUAAACCAAUGUUACCUCAAUAAAAAUUUUGAAAAUCUUUGUCAUAGUAAUAUGUAAAAAAUUUAAAAAAUAAAG
RNAcentral lists this long non-coding RNA (3066 nucleotides) under Equus caballus (horse). RNAcentral's name for it is "lncRNA (ENSECAG00000058498.1)". The record is from RNAcentral. Lineage: Eukaryota; Metazoa; Chordata; Mammalia; Perissodactyla; Equidae.